This 244-nucleotide long non-coding RNA is filed under the name Gossypium raimondii (Peruvian cotton). Its description in RNAcentral is "long non-coding RNA (GRAI_LNC004852)". Lineage: Eukaryota; Viridiplantae; Streptophyta; Magnoliopsida; Malvales; Malvaceae. The record is from RNAcentral.
UUUUACUAGAUGUUGAGGCCUGUUUUAUACAAUUUCCUUAAAACAGAUUCGGCCGCUCCUACGGUAUUUGAAGAAACGUUGGUCGACUGUCUCUCAGGAUACAAUAACAUGAUGAUCGAAACAGUAGCACAUCUACAGUGAUCAAAGAACAAACGUUGCCUUUUUCUAUCACCGAAACGUUGGAAAAUAUGAAGAGAAAAAAGAAGAAUUUUGGAGAGUAAAAUAAACUCGGUGUGAGAGAGUG